UACGGAGGGUGCAAGCGUUACUCGGAAUUACUGGGCGUAAAGGGCUCGUAGGCGGCCAGCUAAGUCUGAUGUGAAAUCCCCAGGCUCAACCUGGGAACUGCGUCUGAUACUGGAUGGCUUGAGUCCGGGAGAGGGAUGCAGAAUUCCAGGUGUAGCGGUGAAAUGCGUAGAUAUCUGGAGGAAUACCGGUGGCGAAGGCGGCAUCCUGGACCGGCAUUGACGCUGAGGAGCGAAAGCCAGGGGAGCAAACGGG
RNAcentral lists this ribosomal RNA (253 nucleotides) under uncultured bacterium. RNAcentral's name for it is "partial 16S ribosomal RNA". It matches the Rfam family "Bacterial small subunit ribosomal RNA", at positions 524 to 776 of the family's 1533-position model. The record is from RNAcentral.